RNAcentral lists this long non-coding RNA (30676 nucleotides) under Citrus x clementina. RNAcentral describes it as "Citrus clementina (C. clementina) long non-coding RNA (CCLE_LNC004382)". The record is from RNAcentral. Lineage: Eukaryota; Viridiplantae; Streptophyta; Magnoliopsida; Sapindales; Rutaceae.
UGGAAAAAACCCCAUUCUUUGCAUGCGAAGUCGAGCUUGGCUAGCUCAGAAUCCAUUGAUUCUUCAGAAAGUAAGCUUUGCAUGUCAAUAACUGGUAUCUGUGAAAUCAAAGUAUCAUCAGAAAUGAGUGGUGAAUCUUGAUCUGGACGUAUGUAUCUGUCGGGGACAACUAACGCAGGAUUCUUGACCAACUCUUGAACACAAGGCACAAGGAGAGAACUUCCAAUCUGGGCCAUCUUUUGUUCCUCAAAUCCUUUCAAGAUUGCUGCAGCUUUGUAUUGAUUUUGGAACAAGACUGAGUGCCGACAAUCACAAAAGUAAAAAAGAAUCUUUUUCCAAGAAAUUAAUCAGCAUCCUCCACCUAACCAUUCAUGAAGUAUUUUUAAUUUUUUGCACAUGUUUAGAAUGCAUAAUAAAAUAUUCGCAGGUCAAAACUAUCCUCUAUUGAUAAGGAUAACAAAUCAUCAGCCAAUUAAUUAGGGUAAUUUUUAAAAACCUCCCCUGAGGUUUGGGCUUGUUGUAAGUAAAUGAUGAGAAUUGAUUUAUUUGUAAAAAAUUCUCUACCGUCAGUUAAUUUUAACAUUGACUGUUAGUUGACUGUGCAAAGACAAUAUUACCCUUAACAAUAAUUUAUAGACAGAAAUAACUAUAAAAAAAUUAAAAUUAUUAGUUAUUUUACCCUCUUUAAAUUAUUGAUAUUUUCUUAAAGUUCCUACAAGAAAGAUAAAAUUAAAAAUUUUAAAAAUUCUCUUUAAAUUAUUGAUAUUUUCUUAAAGUUUCUACAAAAAAGAUAAAAUUAAAAACUUAAAAAUAAAAUAGUUAUAAUCUUUACUUAUGAUAUUGUAAAUUUUUGGAAUUGACAAGGAUAAAAUUGUCAAAAAAUAGGGUUUGUGCUUUUCGCGCCAACAAUUUUAAUUUUUUUUUUAGUUAUUUCCGUCUACAAACUGUUGUUGAGGGUAAUAUUGUCUUUGCACAGUCAACUAACGGUCAAUGUUAAAAUUAACUGACGGUAGGAGGUUUUUUAUAAAUAAACAGAUUCUCGUCAUCUGCUUGCAACAAGUCCAAACCUCAGGGGAGGUUUUUAAAAAUUAUCCCAAUUAAUUAUUUGUGGUUCCCACCUUGUCAUCAACCCAAAAGGCAAAGGUAUUUUCAAUACUGCGUUUUGUUUUCUUUUUCCCUUUCUAUUUUUCUUUCACAACUUGGCAUUGAUCUCGGAGCAUUUGCUCUUGACUUGUGCGAGUAAUCCACCAUUGCGUGUCUGCAGUUAAAAGGACUUCUUAAAAUUUUUUCUAACACGCUGCAAUCUGGUGCUGUGUUGGAAUUGACUGUGCACUAUUAAGAAAACAGUGGGUUCCAAUUGUAAUCGAUUAGUCAUUUAUACAAUUAUAGCUGUUUAUAUUUAGGCAUUAAUUAUCUUUAUAUUUUUAUCUGAUAACAACCAAUUAAAACCUCAUAUUUUGCUUGCGAAUCCAAGUUCCACUUACGAAAGUAACAUCUGUCUCAUUUUUAAUUAUUGAUAAUUAUUAUUACUAUUAUUAUUAUUUUUUAUUAUUAUUAUUGGUAACAAGUUACAACUUAUGUACUCAUGCAAUGUGUUCUAUGGAGAACAAUGUUGCUACAAGCAAUACAAAAUUUGUUACAAUUUAUUGUCUUGAAUAUUUUCGGUAAAAACUACUUAUUUUAACUACAUGCAUGCUACUGGGGAAGGUUGUAAAACAAAUUAUCACAACAAUCUGCUUAAUGUGACGGAUGGUUAAGCCAAAUGACAACAUAUAACCCAAGCAUGUUGUUAUCUAUUCAACUUCAGUGACAUUGUAACAAAAUAUAUUGUUGAUAAGGAUGUAAUUGGACAAGCAAGCGUUAGAAUGGCAUGCUUAAGUAUUUAAUAUCAUAUUUGAAUCAUCUUUAACUCCGAAAGCAAGUGAAAUAGUUCUUGAAAUCUGAUAAAAACAUGACAAGCCUGCAAAAAUUCUAUUCCAAAAAUGAAAGACACUGAUCCAAAAUAAGCACAAUUAUCAUCAGAAAAUUCCUGGCACAAAUCUGCAACUAUCCAAAAUAAUUAUGCUAGCCUCGACCAUGUUGAAUUCUCAGGUCAUCCAGGUGAGAUUUUCCCCUAAGCUCACGAGCAAAUCGGCUCCUAAAGUAUUCUUCAACCGUCACUCUUCGAAACAAUGCAGGAGUUUUUUCAGAUAUCAAACUGGAUGCUGGAUAUAUUUCACCAUCUAAUCUCUUUGUGUAAAAUGUGGCAAUGGAAAGUCUUUCUUGUAUAGAGUUCACAAUUGCACGAUGCUCAAUGCUACAGUAUGUCCCAUUGGUUAUAAUUUGCAGUGUUAAAAAUAUUAGAGCACAUGAGAAGGGACAUAAAAAUGCCAAGGAAAGUAAUCAUAAUUAUUACCUCUAAUGUGUCUCCGAUGUUGACAAUGAAAGCAUUUGGCAGCGGUGUGAUAGGAAUCCAUUUUCCAUCGUUCUUGAUCUGGAGACCUUCUACUUCAUUGAUUUGUAGCAGAAUGGUAAGAGCAGAGCCAUCAGAAUGAGGGGUGAGGCCCAUAACCUUUUCUGGCUGAGGACAUGGAGGGUAAUAGUUCAUCCUCAUUGAUUGGAAACCAUUGUCAAAGAAUUCUCUCAAUUCUUCAUCUUUGAUAUUUAAAACUUUUCCCAUUUUCGAUAUCAGGUUCAUGGCCAAAGAUUUUAACUCCAUUGAGUAAACUUCCAAGGUGUCUCUACAAGAAAAAAGAAGGUAAAACAUUAGAUAGAAUCAUAGAAGGUUUAAUUUUCUCUUUUUGUUUGCAAAUCCAUAUCAAGCACAAACAGAGAGAACCUGAGGGAAGGAGGGAGCUUAGGAAAUAAGUGUGGCUUCCUCAUAUGAACUGGAAGAGUGAUCAUGGAGAACAUGUCAGCCCAAUCAAGCUUUUGUUCCUCAGAUACAACAAAGGCUUGUCCAAAUCCUUCUACAUCUCCUGGAUGCUGCCAAUAUUUUUUCUUUUCUUCCAUGCUGAGAUUGAAGAAGCCCUUAACCUCUUUCUUCACUUUCUCUAGAAAUGCUGAGCUUACUCCAUGGUUUACCAGCUGAAAUUAUGCAGGAAUGAACAGCAGCUAAGAUUUGAUAAUCGUGCCACUAGGUUCACAACCGUCCAGGCGUUUUAUGAAGACAGAUUGCAACUUAUUUGACUGAUUUAGAGACAAGAUUUGCUGUCAAAGAUGGCUAAAAGCAUUUGUUACAUUUCAACUGAGAACAUUGCUGUUGCAUUAAACACCAAUUUUAUUUUGUUUAUAAAUCUAAUCAAUGAUUGAUUUUUACAAGUGUUUUUUACUCAGUUUUGGAGAAAUUUGAAUAUUCUAGAACAGCUAAUAAUCUGCGGGAGUCUUAUACAAUUUACUAUAUCGUUUAUCACAUAUUGACAGAAGCAUAUUUCUCAUAAGCUACCAAAAGCUAUUGAGACAAAGUAGGUGAAAUUUGUCAUGGGCAUCUUUUAAUACAAAUUAUACUAACAAAUCUAUGGCUAUAUGUAAAGGUAAAGUAAUAAAGAAAGUCAAAAACAAAUAUAUCAAUGGAAUCUGGGUUUCAGAAAUAAAUGGUGAGUGUUUUCUUCUCAUAUCGCCUCAAAUUGUACAAUAAAACAAGAGACAACUUCCUUGACAUUUCACAAGCUGCGGUCCUAGAAGCACUGAAAGCAGCAAAAGGACUAGAUGGGAAAAUUUGAAAUCAUGACAUGCUAAAUCAACGGAAACUGGGUUUCAAAAAUAGAUAUUUUGUGACAGAGUUUUGCAGAUUUCAUGAUUCUUAAAUCACAGACAAGCAUGAAAAAUCUUUCUAACUCUGCUAAAGCAUUUUACCUGGUAAAAACCUCAUUCUUUGCAAGCGAAGUCGAGCUUGGCUAACUCAGAAUCCAUUGAUUCUUCAGAAAGCAAGCUCUGCAUGUCAAUAAUUGGUAUCUGUGAAAUCAAAGUAUCAUCAGAAUUGAGUGGUGAAUCUUCGUCCGGACGUAUGUAUCUAGGAGGGACAACUAACAUAGGAUUCUUGACCAACUCUUGAACACAAGGAACAAGCAGAGAACCUCCAAUCUUGGCCAUCUUUUGUUCCACAAAUCCUCUUAAGAUUGCUACAGCUUUGUAUUGGUUUUGGAACAAGAGUGCAGGGUGCAGACAAUCGCAAGAGUUGAAAACAAUUAUUUUCUAACAAAUCAGCAUCCUCCACCUAACCGCUCAUGAUAUAUUUUUAUGCAAAUGACUGAUCUGGAUUAUUUUAAGGGGACCAUUCAACAGCAUGGUAAAAUAUGGGCAGGAAAUAGACCAUCAUUGAUAAUCACAACUAACAAAUCAGCUAGUCGAUUAAUUAUUAGUAAUUCCCAUAUUACCUUAUACAUUAAUAGUACUAACGGACGAGCCCUCACCUCGUUCACCUUUUGACUCCGAAUCAUCCUGUUCGUAUGCUUCUUACAUGGUCUGAAGGAAAAAUGAAAAUUCUAGAAAUAUUUUUCUUAUUGAAUUCAGCAGCGGAGUAAUCGAAUAUUGGAUUAUGUUAAUGGUCAAAAGAAAUCGCAAGUGGAAAUCCUUAUCUAAUCACAAUAUAAAUGCCCUUUUUAUGGAUUGUUCAAUGUUCUUAAUUUUAAUCUUCACGAAGAAGAGAAGAAGUUGAUUUAGCAAUUUUUACGUCUUUCUUGUUCUUAUUAUUAGAGAGAUUUUAUUCAAAGUGGAAGAAGUUAAUUUAAACUCAACUUCCCUCUCAAUUUCCAUAAACUGUACAUGUAACUACAUGGUAGUUACCAUGUGCGGGUCGGAUUGGCUCGGCCCAUCAUGGGUGAUCCACCCAUCCCAUAUCUCCCAUUCGUACAUGAUGGGAUGACAUCGAAACAGCAGAGCAGUGAACAUAUAAAUAAUGAACAACCACAUAUCUUUAAUCAUACAGGUAGAUAUAUCAUGUGACCAUGAACAUAUCUAAAAAUCCAUUUGGUGAGUCAAAAACAUAUCUCGAUUGCUAACUCAGGCAAAAGAUGUCUCAAUUGCAAUCGUAUGCAAGAGAAUUUAAAAAUAUGUUCAUUGUAUCCUAGAUUUAAUUUAUUUUAAUACUCAAGCAUACUAAAUCCCAUUAGUAUGCUAAAAUUGCACAAUCUCUUUAUGUAUUCACAAUUGUAAUAUCCCAAAGAUAUUAUACAAUUGGUCGACCAGUGAAUCACAUAAAAGAAAAAUUAAAUCUUUUUAUCACACUCAUGUUCAUCAAUUCAGAAUAGUCGCUUUCCUAGUCAUGUUUCAUAGACCGAAUAAUGUAAAAGGUCAUAGAUAACAUACUAAAGUAGCAGACAUCACUCUGAGAUCUCAAAAAUAUAGUUAAUAGUCAUAAGGAUAUCGGGAUUGACUUAUAAAAAGUUAUAUAGAACUUACACAAUGAGAAAGAUGGAAGAUUAUUUCAUUUUCCAUUUUGGUUACCAAGCACGCGUGGUAUGAUACACGUGUUACAGUAAAUUUUCCAUUUCAGGACUAUAGAUCUUAGUCUAGUCACUCUUUUAGAAUGAACGCUCUCCUUUAGCGUAAAACGUAAGAUCUCACAUCUGGCUUCAAUCAAGUCUCCAUGAUGGUGGGGUAUAUCAUAGUCAGUCUAUAAUAUGGGCAGGAAAUAGACCAUCAUUGAUAAUCAAGUCGAAAAAUCGUGUGAGACCUCUUGAUUCUAGUCAAGGUAAAAAAACUUGUAGAAUAACGCUUUUUAUUUGGCUCUCAAACAAAAACAUGGUUUUAUUAUUCUACUUGUCUCAUCUCAGCUUGCUCCUAAAGCAAUUGAGGUGACCGCUUGUGUAAGAAAACUAGUCUGGACCUGACGACAUACUCUUAUAUAUGUGUAAUUGUGUCUUUCAUGGAAUAAAUUGAAAUAAGAGAUACUAUUACAUUUUCAAACAACUUAUGUAAUGAAGAUGUUUAUAACAAAUAAGUGCAUCUUAAUAAUAGUAAUUUAUAAUCUAUGUAGCCCUAAUGAUUUAGCAUGAGAGGCGAAUACAUCCCUUAUUACAGCUUUGGUAAGUGGAUCAGUUAUCAUGCUAUGUGUAGAUAUAUAUUGUAUGGCUACUGAUAACUCUAUGAAAUGAGAGUUAUCAUGGCACUUUUAAGCUUAAAUCAAUACUAAUUAGAAAGUAAAUUAUGUGUUUCUAUUGCAUUUUUGUUACAUUUUGCAUAAAUAAUCAUUUUAGUCAGUCUUAAUAAGUUUUGCUUGAUUUAAAGUAAUUUGUGCUCAAAUUGUGUGAAUAAUUGUAGGUUUCCAGAAGUUUAUAAUUCAUGGAAGGAAUGCUAUGCAAUAGGCUUGCAAAAAUAAGGAAGAACAUGGCUAUAAAAGAAUUGAAACAAAUCUGGAACAGUACAGUUGCUGUAGCAACCAUUGCUUUAGCCAUUGCUGUAGCAAUCUUGGAACAACGACGAAGAAAAUUCCGUGCGGGAUACUUGCAGAAUUGCAAUCUGUAGUUUCCUAAUCUGACUUAUGCGCGCUUUAGGCUUCCGUUUACCCUAAUUUUCAACUAUAAAAGAAGCACACAUCAUAAGGAUUAAAGAGAGCCGUCACCCAAGGAGAAAAACAAAAAGAAACAAAAGAAAAACAAGAUUCAAGAGAGAGAUUAAAGGCUGCACAAGAGGAGAAUUUGCAUAAAUCAAUUGAGAGCUCAAUCCUUCUUAUUCUUCUCUUGUUUUCUUGUUUUCUAUUUAUUUAUGGGAAUGUGUUUCAUUGUUGAAGCUUUGUUCUUUAUUUUUCUUUUACAAACCAUGAACUAAAUUUAUUUGUGGUUGAGUGAUAAACAAUCUUGAUGGUUUAUUGACUGAAUAUAUGUGUUGCUACAUGUUUACUGUAGCAGUUUGUUUUGAUAGUACAAGUUAGGAGAGAGUAGCAAAAUGGUCUAUCUUAGUGGAACAUAUCAGAACAAUACGUGAUCUUAAAUUGAACUUCCCGGAUUGAGUUUUACUUGAGUCCCAAAAGGGCCAUGCUUGAUUUAAGAUUAGUGAUGAACUAGACAUAGGGAUUCACCUUGUAGGGUAAAUAGAACCUAAGCGUGUAAUGCUAUAUCUUAUGUUGGCAUAACAAUUGAUCACUGUUAGGUUGCAUAUAGAUAUAAAAUAUCCAACAUGCGACGGCUGAGGAUACAUAAGGAUUCUGUCCAGUGCUAUAGCAGAUGCUGCAGCAACCAAGCCAAACAUUAGAAAAAUAGUCAAUACCAUUAAGAGAGUUUAUUCACUCAGCUACUAUAUACUCCCAUUAGUUUUAUCCUUGAGUUUGACGUGAUAAUUUACUUUGUUGCAUUUUAUUUAUUGUGUUUUUAUUUUAAUUAGUACAUUAGUUUCAUUAAUUGUUUAUUUUAUUUUAGCACAAAAUCUGCACUGUUAAGAUUGCUGUAGCAAAUCUGAUAACAUCAAUCCCUGUGGAGACGAUCUUGAAUACUCAUUAUUUUAUUACUUGUUGUGUAUACUUGCACAUUGACACCAAUAACAUUAGUAUUUAUACACCAACAAGUUUUUGGUGCCGUUGCCGGGGAUUGAUUGUUAAUUGUGAUUUGUGAAAUUAGUUUUAACAGUGCUAAUUUUUUAUUUUAUUUUAAUUUGUUUAUUUUGUUGAAAUAAGUGAUCUAGCAACCCUCGCAUGCGCAAAUAUAAAUCUAUUGACUUCUAGUUUGAUCCAGAAAUUGAAAGAACUGCAAGGAGAUUGAGAAGAGAGCAUCGGGAAUUACAAGCUGCUGUAGCAAUGGAUGAUUUGCAAAAUUUGAGAAACUUGAACUGUAAAGAGGGGAUACAACCAGUCAAUGUACAUGAAGGUCUGAAUGGACAAUGUGUUCAAAGGCAACCAGGGAACAACAACAUUAUUCACAUGGCGAACGAUAGAGAUAGAGCCAUUCGAGACUACGCAGUGUUGACUCCUCAGGCCAUACAUUCAAGAAUAGUUAGACCCGACAUUCAAGCUGACAAUUUUGAACUCAAACCCGUGAUGUUUCAGAUGCUUCAAACAGUGGGGCAAUUUAAUGGUGUGCCAUCCGAAGAUCCUCAUCUACACCUUAAGUUAUUUUUGGAAGUAAGUAAUCCUUUCAAGAUUGCUGGAGCAUCGUAAGAAGCAUUGAGACUCAGACUUUUUCCGUUUUUUUUAGAGAUCGAGCAAGAGCAUGGUUGAAUUCUCUACCACCAGAUUCUAUCACUACAUGGAAUGAUUUGGCUGACAAAUUUUUUAUGAAAUACCUCCCGCUAACCAAGAAUGCAAAGUUGAGGAACGAGAUCACGUAUUUCCAUCAACUUGAAGAUGAAAGCUUGUGUGAUGCAUGGGAGAGAUUUAAAGAGUUACUAGAAAAUAUCCUCAUCAUGGUAUUCCUUGCUGCAUACAGUUGGAAACUUUCUAUAAUGGUCUCAACCCAAGCACUAGAUUGAUGGUGGACGCUUCAGUAAAUGGGGCAUUGUUAUCUAAGUCUUACAAUGAGGCUUAUGAAAUUUUGGAGAGGAUAGCCAACAAUAACUAUCAGUGGCCAUCAACCAGACAAGUUGCAGCAAGAGGAACAGCAGGAGUUCAUAACAUAGAUGCCUUGACAGCAUUGUCAGCCCAAGUAACUUCAUUAACAAAAAUGGUAAAGGCUAUGACUACUGCUCCAGCAACUGUUAACCAAAUAUCUUAUAUGUCUUGCGUUUAUUGUAGAGAAUGGCAUUUAUUUGACAAUUGUCCUGGUAAUCCAGCUUCGGUUAACUAUAUGGGCAGCUUCAAUAGACAGAACUAGGACAAUCCAUAUUCAAACACUCACAACCUUGGAUGGAGACAGCACACAAAAUUUUCAUGGAGUUAUUAGAACCAGACUGCUGCAGCACCUAGUGGACAGAACAGACCUGCUCAACCACCUGGAUUUUAUCAGCAAAAUCAAGAGCAAAGAAGCAUCAACAAUGAUCAAUUCAGCUCCCUUGAAGGUUUGAUUAAGGAUUAUAUUAUGAGGAAUGAAGCAGUUGUCCAAAGUCAUACUGUAUCGUUGAGAAACAUGGAAAAUCAAAUUGGACAGCUUGCUACAGCAUUGAGCAACAGACCUCAAGGUAGUUUACCCAGUAAUACAGAGAACCCAAGAAGAGAAGGGAAAGAGCACUGCAAAGUGAUUAACUUAAGAUCUGGAAAGGAUGUUUAUAGUCCCGUUGGUGUACCAAAAAGAAGAAUUGAGUCCACCCAAGGCCAAGAAGACACUCAAGUAGAGAAAGAGUCACAAUCUUCCACUUUUCAGAAUGCAAAUCAAUACAGUUCUGCUACAACAUCUGCAGAAAGUUAUGAUCCAACACCUAGUAGUGAGGAAGCUACAACACCAACAGCAACAGACCUGAGUAGAGCAAAAGAGAAGCAGUCUGCACAACCUACUGCAGUACAAUAGUUUAGACACCCACCACCCUUCCCUCAAAGAUUUCAGAAGCAACAACAAGACAAGCAGUUCAAUAAAAUCUUAGGAGUGCUGAAACAACUACAUAUCAAUAUCCCUUUUGUGGAAGCUCUAGAACAAAUGCCAAAUUAUGCGAAAUUUUUGAAGGAUAUCUUGACAAAGAAAAGAAGAUUUGGAGAAUUUGAGACAGUUGCUCUAACACAAGAGUGCAGCCGAAUGCUUCAGAGUAAGAUACCGCAAAAGAUGAAGGAUCCAGGAAGCUUCACAAUCCCUUGCUCCAUAGGCACUAAAUACUGUGGCAAAGCACUUUGUGAUUUGGGGGCUAACAUCAAUCUCAUGCCUUUAUCAGUGUUUAAGCAAUUGGGAGUUGGUGAAUGUAGACCAACAACAGUGACUUUACAACUUGUUGACAGGUCUCAUGCAUAUCGAGAAGGGAAGAUUGAAAAUGUGUUGGUGAAGGUGGAUAAAUUUAUUUUUCUAGUGGAUUUCAUUGUGCUAGACUUUGAGGCAGACAAAGAAGUGCCAAUCAUUCUAGGGAGACCUUUCUUAGCCACGGGAAAGACUUUAAUUGAUGUUCAAAAAGGAGAAUUAACCAUGAGGGUGAAUGAACAGCAAGUGACAUUCAAUGUGCUGGAUGCUAUGAAGAGUCCCGAUGAGAUUGAAUAUUGUGAUUUUAUCAGUGUUGUGGACUUUGUUGUAGCAGAGAGAUUACACAGUUGCUGCAGUAAGGAAGAAAUCAAUGUUGUGACAUUUGAAGAACUUGAUGAUGAAGAUCAUGGAGCAGCUAACAUAGCAUGGUCAGGAGAGAAGCAACCCCUCAUAAUUGACGAGCAAAUCCAGCAAAUGGAACUCACGCCAGACCAACAAGAAUUCAAGGUUAAUGGGCCAAGAGUGAAGCACUAUAUGAGAGAUGAUGUGAACAGCCUAAAGACGAAUAUGUUCUUGAAUGAUCCAGGAUGAGCAAACAAGAAAGGUCAGACUAAAAGACCUAAAAUCAAGCGCUAAUUGGGAGGCAACCCAAUAAGGGAAGUUGUUUUAAGUUUUUAUGGCAUUGAAUUUAGCUUUUAAAUUAUUUAAUUUGUCUUUUUAUUAUUUUAAGUAUGCAUUUAAUUUUUUAUGUCUUUAUGUUACAUUGCAGCAAGUAAACAAAAUGUGGGCAAAAAGAGCAGGAGGGAAUUGCUGCCGCAUCACUUACAGCAUGACAUAUAACAGAAGAUUCUCAAACAACAGAGGCAUUUCUUGCUUUUGCAGCAGCAAAUGGAUUGAUCAGAUUUUUAUGAUAAGGAGUGUUUGAGAAGUAUAUCAAAGAAAAAGUGACCCUUUACAGCCUAUGCUAUAGCAAUGCUUCCAGCAACAGGGGAGUACCAUUACCCACUAGUUUAUUUUACUUCUUUCUGUAAAACUUUUCUUUAAUUUAGUUUUAAUUUUCUAAUUCAUUCUGCAUGUCUUUUUAUUUAGUGUAUGCAUGUCUGGUUUAUGUGGUUUUGUUUUGUGUGCUUGUGAGGACACAACACCACUCAAGUUUGGGGGGGUUGUGUUUUUUAGUGCAUGUGCUUGUGUUGUGUGAAGCUCUGUUAUCUAAUAUUUGUGUAUGGAUUUGAAAACCUAAUGAAGAUAAAUUGAGUGUUAUUCAGUAUUUAUGAGAAAGCCAAGUAGAGAUAGUUAUAGAUAAAGGUUGAACUUCUGUCCCAACACUUAGACUUUGGUUGAGUUUUAUGAGAAUGCUGUAGUAGAACCAGGAAAAAAAAAGAGUAGAAAAUAUCUCAAGUUUGGGGGAAAAUUUUUGUUGGACUGUGCCUGUUAUGAAAUAAAUUCUGCUCCAAUGGUUUAAGUUGCUGAGUAACCAGGGUUGAGUAUGCACCCUAUAUGCAAACUUGAGUCCAAAGGCAACACGAGCUACGAGCAGUGCUGCAGCAAAAGCAAAAAAAAAAAAGAAGAAAAGCAAAAAAAAAUGAUGAUAAAGAGGUCCGCUACCUAGGAUACUGAGUAACCUGGUCUGUUCAUGAGUCCCAUGUUCAGCCUUGAGUCAAAGGUGUCCAAAGGUAUGACCUAGAUAUAACAUCCCAAAUGCGUUGCUGUAGCAACUCCGACAUGUACUUUGAAUGAGUAAUUGGGUGUCGUCAUUACAAGUGAUAGGCAUUCACAUGAAAGCUCAAUGUUGCAUUGAAAGGUUUAACUGGAAAAAACAAGUAUUAUUAUUGUAGCAUAGUUUGAGUUUAUUUGUGAAUUCUACUCCCCUAUAUGUGAAUAUCUUUGGUUCUAUCUAUGAAUUAUAUGUCUAUGUAAUGUUGUAGCACCUCUGGAAUUUGAUCAAAGUGGCACACACACACUCUGGACAGAAUAAAGCCUAAGUCUAGAACUAGAUUGCUAUGGCUAUUUUGCAUGAUUAAGAGUGUGAUCUGAGGGUGGAAGAAUCCUUGCAAAUCUGAUGACAGAGCUAAGUUAUUUGUUGCAUGAUUGUGUGAUUGAAGUGUUAGCAUUAUUGUCAUUACUUGAGGACAAGUAAGGGUUUAAGUUUAAGGGUGUGAUAACUCUAUGAAAUGAAAGUUAUCAUGGCACUUUUAGGCUUAAAUCAAUACUACUUAGAGAGUAAAUUAUGUGUUUCUAUUGCAUUUUUGUUACAUUUUGCAUAAAUAAUCAUUUUAGUCAGUCUUAAUAAGUUUUGCUCGAUUUAAAGUAAUUUGUGCUCAAAUUGUGUGAAUAAUUGUAGGUUUCUAGAAGCUUAUAAUUCAUGAAAGGAAUGCUAUGCAAUAGGCUUGCAAAAAUAAGGAAGAGCAUGGCUAUAAAAGAAUUGAAACAAAUUUGGAACAGUACAGUUGCUGUAGCAACCAUUACUAUAGCCAUUGCUAUAGCAAUCCUGGAACAACGACGGAGAAAAUUCCGCGCGGGAUACUUGCAGAAUUGCGAUCUGCAGUUUCCUAAUCUGACUUAUGCGCGCCCUGGGCUUCCGUUUACCCUAAUUUUUAACUAUAAAAGAAGCACACAUCAUAAGGAUUAAAGAGAGCCGUCACCCAAGGAGGAAAACAAAAAGAAAUAAAAGAAAAACAAGAUUCAAGAGAGAGAUUAAGGGCUGCACAAGAGGAGAAUUUGCAUAAAUCAAUUGGGAGCUCAAUCCUUCUUAUUCUUCUCUUAUUUUCUCAUUUUCUAUUUAUUUAUGGGGAUGUGUUUCAUGGCUGAAACUUUGUUCUUUAUUUUUCUUUUACAAACCAUGAACUAAAUUUAUUUGUGGUUGAGUGAUAAACAAUCUUGAUGGUUUAUUGACUGAAUAUAUGUGUUGCUGCAUGUUUGUUGUAGUAGUUUAUUUUUAUAGUAUUUAUUUUAUUCAUUAUUUCGGUUGAUCACCCAUUUAAUAAUACAAGUUAGGAGAGAGCAGCAAAAUGGCCUAUCUUAGUGGAACAUAUUAGAACAAUACUUGAUCUUAAAUUCAGUUUCCCGAAUUGAGUUUUACUUGAGUCCCAAAAGGGCCAUGCUUAAUUUAAUAUUAGUGAUGAAAUAGACAUAGGGAUUCACCUUGUAGGAUAAAUAGAACCUAAGCGUGUAAUGCUAUAUCUUAUGUUGGCAUAACAAUUGAUCACUGUUAGGUUGCAUAUAGAUAUAAGAUAUCCAACAUGCGACGGCUGAGGAUACAUAAGGAUUCUGCCCAGUGCUAUAGCAGAUGCUGCAGCAACCGAGCCAAACAUUAGAAAAAUAGUCAAUACCAUUAAGAGAGUUUAUUCACUCAACUACUAUAUACUCCCAUUAGUUUUAUCCUUGAGUUUGACGUGAUAAUUUACUUUAUUGCAUUUUAUUUAUUGUGUUUUUAUUUUAAUUAGUACAUUAGUUUCAGUAAUUGUUUAUUUUAUUUUAGCACAAAACCUGCACUGUUAAGAUUGCUAUAGCAAAUUUGAUAACAUCAAUCCCUGUGGAGACGAUCUUGAAUACUCAUCAUUUUAUUACUUGUUGUGUACACUUGCACAUUGACACCAAUAGCAUUAGUAUUUAUACACCAACAACUACUUCUUUCUUUGCCAAAAUAUCUCUUACAAAAUUGUAUUUAGUCUCAAUGUGUUUCGAUUUGGUAUGGUAUUUAGCAUUAUUAGAGAAAUGGAUAGUAGCUUGAUUGUCACAAUAGAUAGUCACUAGAUUAUCAUUGAUAAUAUUAGUCUCUAAGUUCUCUAUAAAUCUCUUAAGUCACAUAACUUUUUGCACUGUUGCAGAACAUGCAAUAUAUUCGGCUUCCACCGUUGAUAAAGUCGUGCAUGUUUGCUUCUUGCUACUCCAUGUAAUUGUUCCUCUAUUUAGCAGGAAUACAUAUUUUGAAGCUGAUUUACGCUAAUCCAGAUCACCACCCUAGUCGGUGUCUGAAUAUCCAACAAGCCGCAAACGACCUCCUUGAUAGCAUAAACAAUAAUUUGCAGUGCAUUUGAGAUAUGCUAAAAUCCUUUUAACAGUACUCCAAUGCUUCUGACCAGGAUUAGACUGGUAUCUACCUACUAGUCCUACAACAUAACUAAUAUCAGGCAUUGUACACAUUAUGACACACUUAAGACUUCCAAUGGCAUUUGCAAAAGGAACUCUAAUCAUUUUUUCUUUUUCUUGAGGAGUCUUGGGACACAUAUCGAGACUAAGAGAUUGUCCUUUAGCUAUAGGGGUAUCCUUGUGCUUACAAUCAGCCACAUUGAAUCUUUCAAUGAUCUUCUUAAUGUAAGACUCUUGUGACAGAGCCAUAAUUUUCCUUGAACGAUCCUUAAAAAUUUUGACCCAUAAGAUAUAAGUUGCUUCGCCGAUAUCUUUCUUGUCAAAAUUUGAAUGUAGCCAAUCUUUAAUAAUUUUCACAAACUCUUUACUAUUUGCUGCCAAUAAUAUAUCGUCCAUAUACAAAGUCAAUAUCGUAAAAGCGUCUUUAUGUCUCUUAAUGUACACACAAUGGUCUUCCUUAACCAUCCUAAAGCUAAGAAACUAUAGCUUGAUAGAAUUUAAGGUUCUAUUACAAGUGGGCAUAUUUUAACUAAACCUAUCCAAACCGAUCCCGACCAUUUGGAUCGGUUUCAUUAGUAAAAAAACUAGUUUUGGUUUAUUAGAUUGCAAACCGACAUCACUCGAUUUGGAUUUCAGCAAAUCGAUCCAAUCCAGAAAAUUUAAAAAGCUUUAAGACAUAUGAUGUGUCAAUUUAUUAUUGGAUUAUUAACAGAAGAAAUGUACACUUUCAUACACAAUAGCACACUUCUUAUUAUAAAAACAAAAACACAAAAACCUAAUUGUCCAACACUCACAGCUGCCUUCACCUCCAGUGCCUCCUAUCAUUCUCAACUCUCUCAAUCUCAAUCGCUCAUUCUCAAGUCUCAGAGUCAUAAUUUUAAAAAUCGAAACAAAAGGGCAUGUUUUGAUUUUAUUUUUCUUGCUACAAUUUUAUUUUAUUUUAGUCAAAAGUUAAAGUGGAUUUUGGUAUAAUUGAUGAUAAUUUAUUUGAUUAAUUGAUUCCAUAGCUAUUUUUUUUUUAAUCUUUAUUAAUUAAAGAAGCUCUCAACAUGGAAGAUAAUUCCAAUGUGAAUAAUAUCAUAGAAAAUGGAGAAAUAGUGAUGGAUGAUUUUCUAGAACCUAAAAGUAAGAAAUCUAGAACAUGGGGUGGUCGUCUUCAUGACAGUGAAAGGGGUUCAAAAGUUUGGCCUCAUUAUAUCAAAGAUUAAGUGAAUAGGACAUGUAAGUGCAAAUAUUGUGGGAAGUAGUAUAAGUGUGAUAGUAAGUUUAAUGAGACUUUUAAUUUGUGGACUCACUUAAGAGAACAAUGUGAAAAAUAUUGGGCUACUUUAGAUUAUGUGACUCAAGUUAAACUAGCUCGCUUCCGUGAUAAGAAAAAAAAGUCUAAUAUGGCAAGUGGUAGUGGCACUAGGAAUAUUGUGUAUGGUAUUGGGUUGGGGCUUGCUGGAAAGUUUGAUCAUGAGGAUUGUAGGAAGAAUGUGGCAAUAUAUUUUAUUCUUAAUGAGGUUUCAUUUAGGAAGGUAGAGUCUUAUGGGUUUCAUCUUUUGUGCGAUAAACUUUGUCCUAGAUUUGGCCCACCUUCUAGGGGAACACUUGUUAGAGAUAUAUAUCAACUGUAUUUAGUUGAGAAUGCAGCAUUAAAAAAUAUUUUUAUUGCAAAUAAGUAUAGAGUUUCUAUUACCACAAACAUUUGGACUUUCAUACAAAAUUUUAAUUAUAUGUUGUGACAACCCAUUGGGUUGAUCAUAAUUGGAAAUUGCAUAAGAAAAUUUUGAAUUUUUUUUCCAAAUAACAAGCCACAAAGGGGACUUAAUCGGCAACCUUAUUGAAAAAUGCUUACUUGAUUGAGGUAUAGAAAAAGUGAUGAUUGUUAUAGUUGAUAAUGUGAGUUCUAAUGAUGUUGCUAUCAAUUAUUUGAAAAAAAAAAUUGAAAAAUUGGAAGGGUGAUGCAAUGAUUUUAGAUGGAGAUUAUUCACAUUUGUGGUGUUGUGCCCAUAUUGUUAAUAUAAUUGUGAUUGAAGGGCUGAAAGAGAUGCAUGACUCAAUUUCUAGCAUUUGCAAUGCAAUUAUAUAUGUGAGGUCUUUUGGUUUGAGGUUGCAUGUUGUAGGUUUUCUAAUGCUAUUGAUGUCAAUGUGCAAGUGUACACAAUAAGUAAUAUAAUGAUGAGAAUUCAAGAUUGUCUCCAUAUGUUGUUAUAGGAAUUGCUACAGCAAUUUUAUUAGUACAAUUUUUUUCCUAAACAAGAAUUAAAACAAAUUAUUAAACUAAUGAAAUAAUAAAAAUAAAAACGCAAUAAGAAAAAUGCAAUAAAGUAAAAUACCACAGCAAAUACAAGGAUGUUCCCAAGGGGAAUGGAGUAGUUGAGCGAUUAAACUCACUUAAUGGUUUUGACUAUUUUUCUAAUGUUGGCUCGAUUGCUAUAGCAUUUGCUACAGCACUGGGCGGAAUCCUUAUGUAUCCUCAGCUGUCGCAUGUUGGAUAGCUUAUAUCUAAAUGCAACUUAACAGUGACCAAUUGUUAUGCUAACGUCAGAUAUAGCAUUACACAUUUUAAAUUCUAAUUACUCUACAAGAUGAAUCCCUAUAUCUAGUUCAUCACUAAUUUUAUAUUAAGCAUGACCCUUUUCAAAUCAAGUUAAACCCAACUCAGGAAACUCAAUCUAAAACCAAGUAUUGCUUUGAUAUGUUCCACUAAGACAAGUCUUUUUUAAGCUCUUUCUUAACUAGUAUCACUAAAUGGGUGGUCAACCGAAAUAGUAAAUUGAAAUAAGUAUUAUCAAAACAACGUGCUAUAGCAAAUAUGCAACAACACAGAAUAUUAGUCAAUUAACCAUCAAGUUUGUUCAUUACUCAACCACAAGUAAAUUUAGUUCAUAAUUUUUGAUAAAACAAGAAGUAAAAUAGUUUCAGCCAUCAAACAAUUCAUCAUAACGAGAUAGAAACAAGAGAACAAAAAAUAAGAGUGAGAUCCGCUUGAUGUUCUUCUCGAAUUCCUUAGUUGCAGCCCCCAAUUCUCUCUCUUGAUCUUUGUUUUUUCUUGUGUUGUUUAUCUAUUUUUCUUCUCCAAUGACGACUCCCUUUUCUUUGCGUGUGUGCUCCUUUUAUAGCUCAGAAUUAGGGCAACUGGAAGCCUAGGACGUGCAUCUUCUAAUUUAGAAAACUCCAGACUGCAAACUUCAAAGUAUCUCGCGCGAAAUCUUCUCUGUCAAUGCUCUAGAAUUGCUAUAACAACGAUGCUACAACAACAGUGCUACAACAAUGGCUUCAGCAUCUGCAUUGUUCCAGACUUGUUUCAAUUCUUCUCUAAUUAAGUUCUUUCCUUAUCUUUACAAGCCUAUUGCAACCGUAUUCCUUUCUUGAAAUUUGAGCUUUCGGUCACCUAUAAUUAUGCAUAUGAUUUAAGUACACAAUUUAUUCUGAAUCAAACAAAACUUAUUAAAAGUAAACUAAAAUGGAUGUUUAUCCAAAACAUUACUAAAAUGCAACAAAAAUAUGUCAUUUACUCUCUAAGUAAUCAUGAUUUAAGUCUCAAAGUGUCAUGAUAACUCUCAUUUCAUAGAGUUAUCAUUAUAAAUUUAAAUCAUGUGUUGAGAGAGAGAAAUUUGAAUAUAAAGGGCUUUUAGCAUAUGAUGUGCCCACUAGAUGGAAUUAUAUCUACACUAUGUUGUCCAGAGCUAUAAACUUUCAGAAAGCUUUUGAAAGUCUGGAAGAAGAGGAAUAUGAUGGACCAAAGCUUUUUUCAAUGAGAGGAAAGCAGAACAUAUCAGGCCACCCACAGCUGAAGAUUGGAAAAUGCUGCAAUAUUUAUCAAGUUUUUGAAAUUUGUGAAUAAUGUUACAAUUGAUUACAAUGCUUUAUUAUCUGUCAUGUCUAACUUGUAUUUUCAUCAUCUUUGCACCAUUCAAACCUAGUUGCAUUCAUUUAUUGAAAAAAAGGAGGUGCUUCUUAGUAAAAGGGCAGAAAAAAUGAAAAUAAAGUAUGAAAAGUAUUGGGGUUCUGUGGACACUAUAUAUCAGCUGUUUAUCAUUGUUGUGGUACUUGAUCUAAGGUAAAAAUCUGUUAUUUCAUUUGAUUUUUUAUUUUUUAUGAUAAAAUCAAUUGUGAUAAUUAUUUACUCCAAUUCAUUUCAUAUCUAAGGUACAAAUUGGAUUAUGUGUCAUUUUGCUUUGAAAAUUUGCAUAAUCCUGAGAAAGCGAAAGAAAUUACAUCAAACAUUAAGAAGCUACUUUUAAAGGUGUAUUCUUUGAAAUACUAACUAGGCAACCCAAGAGGGGGGUGAAUUGGGAUUUUAAAAAUUAAGCUAAGCAAACCACACAACAAUCUAAUCUAAUGCCUUAAUAAAUUCGAAAACAAUAAAUUCAAUGAAAGCACAAUAAUAAAUGAGCAAGGGAAGAGAAAGAAAACUCAAGGAUUUUUACGUGGUUCGGCAAUCCCCGCCUACGUCCACGCCUCCAAGCACACCGGGCUUGAGGAUUUCACUAUCCGAGUCUUUCCAAGGCUUCAAAUGUUUACAAUUGACUUCAAGGUGUCAAUGAACCUUUACAACAAAAUAUUAUCUCUCCAAUCUCUUCACCCCAAGUGUUUCUCACACUUGUACACUCACAAUUUGAUGAGAAAUGAAAAUUACAAUAAUGAAACUCUCUUUAAGAGUGGAUAUACAAAUUGAAGAACAAAGAUGAUUUAAUAAAUGAUGAUUUACGAAAUUGAAGCUCAAUAUAUGUUGUGUGCACUUGUUUUUGCUUGCCAAGAUUUCCAAAAUUGAAUUGGUUUUGAGUUUAUAUAGUUUGAACUCAAAAAACUAGCCGUUAUGCACAUUUUGGUCAUAACCGGCUUACCAUUUAGGAAUCCGGUAAGCCGCUUUUAUGUUACCGUUAAGGCAAAAAUUUGAAUUUCAAAAUAUCCGGUAAGCCGCAUUUCAUAUCCGGUAAGCCACUUUUGAAAUCCGGAUUGCCGCUUGCGAAAUCCGGAUAGCCGUUUAUGCUCCAGAAGCUUACUGCCCAAAAUCUGGAUUGCCGUUUACUAUAUCCGGUAAGGCACUUGCUACAAUGAUUGCUACAGUGAACUAUUUUUUAAAAUUACUGUUUGGCCCCAAAACUUUCCAUAAUUGUAUUAUGGCCUAAAACGUUAUGAAAAUUUGCAAAUAGGUUCAAUUUUAGAAUUUCUAAGCAAUGCUUUGUUAAUCUCAAAACUUUUUGAAAUUAUGGUAUAGCCUAAAAUGCUAUGACACUUUUCAAACAAGUCUUUCUCUAAAAUUUCAAACAAUACUUGUUGAUUUCAAAGUUUUCAAAACUCUUUCAAUUAAAUCAUAAACUUGAAAAACAACUAAUUUCAUAAAAUCAUUUUUUCAUGAAAUAUAAAACCUUUAUAGUGUAAAAAUAAUGAUUUAUUUAAAAUGUAUAAAAAAUAAUUUGAGCUUAAAAGAUUAAUCAUUCUUAAUCUUGUUUGUUAUCAUCAAAAUCAACAUUAUGAAAACAUAUAUGUUAACAUUCUUAAACUUUCAAAUUAGAUUCAGUUAUAACACUAGUUACUUUAUUUUUUUUCUGUAAAAUGUAUUCAUAUUUACUUAAAUUUAUUUUCAUAGCUAUAUAAAACCUAUUGUCUUGUAGAAUCUACUUCUGGUGAUGGUAGCCAAUCUACUAAUGAUGUUUUGGCAAUUGAUGUGGGUUUAAGAAGGAAAAGUGGCAAGGUCUAUGCAUUUAUUAAUACAAAGACUCAAUAUAAGCAGUUAAAAGUGCAGAAAGAUUCCAUUGAUUUGAAAAAUGAGGUAGAAAGGUAUUUGUUCUAACCUAGCGAGGAUGAAACUGAUGAUUGGUUUGAUGUUUUGGGUUAGUGGAUUGCAAAUAGUGCAAGGUUUGGGACUUUGUCACAAAUUGCAAAGGAUGUGUUAGCAAUUCCUGUAUCUACUGUGGCUUCUGAAUCUACUUUUAAUACUGGAGGUCGUGUAGUCUAUGCAUUUCGAAGUUCAUUAACCCCUACAAUGGUUGAGACUUUGAUAUAUAGUCAACAAUGGCUUAAAGCAUCUGGUAUGGAUGAAAAAUAUAUUAGGAAGUUUGAUGUAGAAGUAUUAGCAUCAUACUUUAGUGAUUUGGAAUUAUGUACGUCUGUGGAGCAAGGUACCUAUGUUUUACAUAUAGUAUAAUUAUAUUAUUUUCUAAGUUAAGCAAUCUAACCAAUCAUUUUGUCAUUUUAUGCAGAUUUUGACAAAUCAAAAGUAAUUGGGCCAUAAGUUUUGAUGGACAAGAUGCACGAUAUUUUGAUUGUCAAAUGUUGUUCAAGUUUAUUUUAAUUUUGUGAGUUUGUUUUGAAUGAACAGGUUGAGAACUUCUUUAUUAUGAUGUAUUCUGUUAUGAACUUGUAUGGAUGUAUCUUUGAAUUGUUAUGUAGAUAUGAAUAAUAUAAAAGAGAUAUCAAUUUAGAUUAUGGACACAAAAAAUAACAAAUAAUUUAGGUACAACAAUAUAAAAGAGGUGGGCUUUUAGCUAAUAAUCUCAAACCAAGAAAAAAACCAAUCCAGUCGGUUUGGUUUAAAAAAAUUUUCGGUCGAUAUCAGUUUAGAUCGGUUUGAUAAUUUGUCUCAAAUUGAUCCAAACCAAAUUUGCCUACCUCUCAGUUCCAUUAUCUAGAGAAAUGCAAUAUUUACAUCCAUCUGAUGUAAUUCAAGGUCUAGAUGUACAAUAAUGACCAAAAUUAAUUGUAUAGAAGCAAACCUUACCAUAGGAGAAAAGGUUUCUUUAUAGUUUAUUCCCUCCUUUUGGGUAUAGCCUUUAGCGACUAAUCUUACUUUGUAUCUCUCGAUUGUCCCAUCCACUUUACGUUUUAUAUGGAGAACCCAUUUAUUUCCGAUAGUUUUAUGAUUAGGCAGAAAUUCAAGCAAGUCCCAAACUUGAUUAACGUUCAUAGAUUCUAUCUCUUCUUCCAUUGUUUUCAUCUAUAAAUCCUUAGCAGACGAUGUGAGAGCUUUAUUAAAAGUAUUUGGCUCUUCACUAUCGUGUGAAGUAAUCAUAAAACGUCUCCCUCAAUCUCAAAAUGACGACAAGGAAUUGACUUACGACUACUCUUCUGAGUUGAUUCCCUAAUUCGAAUCGAAGUGUCCGAUGUUUCACUCCCACUCAGAGUAACAAUCCCCAGAGGAUUCGCACUAAUGCCAAUAUCAACAUUAGAAGUGAUAACCCCAUUUGGAUCUUCUAAUUCAUAAAAUUGAAAAUCCUUAUCCACUUCUUCAAUGCUAGAAAAUUCAUUUUCUAAAAAACUGACAUUUGUUGCAACUUUUUCUUGUAUUAUUAGUAUCAAUGUGCAAGUGUACACAAUAAGUAAUAUAAUGAUAAAUAUUCAAGAUCGUCUUCACAUGGAUUGAUGUUAUCAGAAUUGCUAAAACAAUCCUGAACAGUGCAACUUGUGUUCUAAAUUAAGACUAAAUAAUUAAUGAGACUAAAUAACUAAUUAAACUAUAAAAUGUAAUAACUAAAAAGGCAAUAAAUAAAAUUUUCAUGUCAAACACAAGAAUAAAGCCAAUGAGAAUAGAGUAGUUGAAGGAUUAAACUCUCUUAAUGGUUUUGACUGUUUCUUCUAAUCUUUGGCCUGGUUGCUACAACAUUUGUUACAGCACUGGGCAAAAUCAUAUUGUAUCCUCAACUGUCGCAUGUUGGAUGUCUUAUAUCCUUAUGCAACCUAAUAGUGACCAAUUGUUAUGGUAAUAUAAGAUAUAACAUUACACAUUUAGGUUCUAUUUACCCUACAAUGUGAAUUCGUAUGUCUAAUUCAUCACUAAUUUUGGAUUAGGCAUGGCCCUUUUGGAAUCAAGUAAAACUCAACUCAACUCAAGAAACCCAAUCUAAAACCAAGUAUUACUCUGAUAUGUUACAUUAAGAUAAGCCCUUUUGUAGCUCUUUCUUAGCUUGUAUCAUUAAAAUGAGUGGUCAGCCGAAAUAAUGAAUAUAAUUAAAUAUCAUCAAAAUAAAAUGCUAUAGCAAGCAUACAACAACACAUUUAUACAGUCAAUGGACCAUCAAGAUUAUUUAUCACUCAACCACAAAUAAAUUUAGUUUAUAAUUCGUAAAAGAAACAUGAACAAUAGAGUUUUGGUCAUCAAAUGCAUUCUCAUGAUUAAAGAAUAAACAAGAAAACAAGAGAAGACUAAGAAAGACUGAGUUCCCGAUUGAUUUCUGUAAAUUCUCCUCUGAUGCAGCCCUUAAUUUUGCUCUUGAAUUAUGUUUUUCUUUUAUUUCUUUUCGAUUUUUGUUCUUGGUUGACGGCCUCUCUCUUCCUUUGCAUGUGUGCUCUUUUUAUAGAUAAAAAUUAGGGCAACUGAAAGUCUAGGGUGUGUAUCUUCCAGAUUUGGAAACUCCAUAUCUCAAUCUUUUAAGUGCCUCACAUGAAAUCUUCUCUGUCAAUGCUCUAACAUUGCUACAACAAUGUCUGCAACAUCUGCAUUAUUCCAGACUUGUUUUAAUUCUUCUGCAGCCAUGUUCUUUCAUUCAUUUUGCAAGCUCAUUGCAACAACAUCUUUUCCUUGAAAUUCAAACUUCCAAUUACCCACACUUAUGUAUGUGAUUUAAGCACACGAUUAUUCAAACCCAAACAAAAUUUACUAGAAUUAAACUAAAAUGGCUGUUAAUGCAAAAUAUCAUUAAAAUGUAAUAAAAACACAUUAUUUACUCUCUAAGAAAUCUUGAUUUAAGUCUAAAAAUGCAAUGAUAACUUCAUUUCAUAAAGUUAUUAACAUCCCGUGAUUCCAGUUCAGUUAAAAAUCCACUUUCAUGUUCACCAAUGAACACAUAUUGUUUGGAGUGUUCUGAGUAUCUAAUAAAGAUACGCUUUUUACUUCUAGCUCCUAAUUUCCCAAACUUAUGAAUGGAGUUAUAAACAUAAGCUGCAGACCCCCAAGGUCACAAAUGAAAUAGGUCAGGUUUCCUAGCCGUCUAUAACUCAUAUGAGUAGAACUAACUGAUUUUGAAGGAACUAGGUUAAAUAUACAGGCAGCAGUUAACAAUGCAUCUCCCUAAUAUGAUAUUGGAAUAUUUGAGUGUGCCAUUAUUGACCUAACCAUUUCUAAAAAAGUUAUAUUCCUUCUUUCCGCCAUACCAUUUUGUUGCAGAGUUUCAAGAAUAGUCAACUGUCUAUUUAUUCAUUUCUCACUACACAGUUCCUUGAACUAUUUUGAAAGGUAUUCAUGUCAUCAGUCAGUCCUUAGAACUUUAACAUUAUUAUCUAUUUGAUUCUCUACCAUGUUUAGAUAUAAUCUAAAGCAAUCCAAUGCUUCUGAUUUAUAAGAAAUCAAGUAGACAUGACCGAAACUUGAAUAAUCAUCAAUGAAUGUUAUAAAAUAUGAGGCUCCAUGUUUAGCCCUUACAUUCAUUGUAUCACAGAUGUUAGAAUGGAUUAAUUGUAAUGAUUUUUCAACUCUAAUUCCUUUGUCAAAUGGUUUUCUAGUUGUUUUUUCAGCUAAACAAUUCUCACAUAUGGGCAAUUCAACCUUGGUAAGUAAACCCAAUAUGCCCUUUCUCGUAAGUCUAUUCAUUCUUUUUUGCCCUAUGUGACCUAAUCAAGCAUGCCAAGUAAUAACAUCUAUUUUAUUAUUACUUAAAGAAGUAGCAUAUGAAAAAUAAUUAUUAUCAUAACUUGAAUUAUCAGGUAUUGUAUCUAAUAUAAUAAAACCAUUAACGAAAUGCCAGUUCUAAUAAGGACUAAAUUUAAGAAAAUCUCCAAAAAAAAAUCAUAAAAGUUUAAAUUAUAUCCUAAUUCAAGAAGAACAAGAAUAGAAACCAAGUUUCAUCGAAUCUCUAGUGCAUAUAGGACAUCGUGUAAUAAAAGAAUACGUCCACCAUGCAAAGUCAAUUUGUAGGUGUCUAUUCCUUUUGCUUCAACCCUGGAGUUGUUGCCCACGUAUAUCCAUUUAGUCCCUUGACUAAUUUGGUGAUACUCUACAAACGCAUUUUGAUCACGAGCUAUAUAGUCUGUUGAUCCUGAGUCUACAGUCUACAUAGGACGAGAAUCAAUUAGGAGUACAUAACUCAUAACUAACACAAAAUUUAAUAAAGUGGAGUUGGGCUCAGUGCACUCGCGAGCAAAGUGAUCGGGCUCACUACAAUUAUAGUAUUUCAUCUUAGAUUUGUCAUUUUUCUUGUUAGUGCGUCUACCCCUUGGGCGCUUCUUAGCAUCUGAAUUCCUCUUAUUAGGAUCAGAUUUCUUACCCUUCUGGUUAUAAUUAUGACCCUUUUGUACUUGAAGCUUGAAGCUUUGUGCGAAUUUGAUUCGGUCAUAUAAACACGAUCAAAAAGCUUAGUUGCCUCAAGGCGCUUUACUUCUAAUUCUAGGUGAUGUUCUAUGUCAUUGAAAGUUCUAAUACUUUCAUUAUGAGUCAUAUUCACCAUCAUGUGCAGCCAAGAAUCAGGUAGAGAUCUUAUUACUUCCUGGACUUGUUGUUCAUCAGUCAAAAUAUGUCCAGCAGCCUUAAGUUCGCAAAUCAUGUUUGACCUCUCCCUCAGCUGCUGCCUCAUAAUAUGAUUUUGGCAAUUCCGAGAAGAAUCAAACUUGAUCAUAAGCCUUGCAAUUUAGUAGUCGAAGUGCCACUGAACUUAUCUUUUAGAGCGAGCCACAUCUGUUGAGCAGUCUCUUAUAGCCUCUUCUACUAUAGUAGCGGAGUUCAUAGCAUGUAACGAGACAUCCAAUCACAGAAUAUGGCUAAGGAAUUACGUCACAGAGUUACACAUUUUAGAUGUUAUUGAUAGACCACUUAAGUUAUUAUGUGACAAUAAGUUAGCAGUGCUAUAUUCCAAUAACAAUAGGAGCUCGACGAAGUCACAGUAUAUAAACAUCAAGUUCCUAGUUGUUAAAUAAAGAAUUCAGAGUGGAAAAUUGUCUAUAAAGCAUAAUGGUACAAAAUUCAUGAUCACGGAUUCGCUUACUAAGGGAAUACCAUCUAAAAUUUUUCAUAAGUACACCGUUCAUAUAAGUGUCGUGUCAUUAAAGGAUAUUCAUUUUUAAUGGGAUUUUGUAAAUUUCAAAUGUUCUUAUGAUAUAAACAUUUUUCGGUUUAGGGAUAUUUAAGGUUAUUUUCUGCAGAAAUAAAGUUUUGGUUUAUUCAUUCACACUAAUUUUUAUAUGAUUUGAUCUCACUAAAGUUUAAGGCGGAUCAAUUGGAAAUAGGCAUGUUAAGAUCACAUUACAUGAAAUUUCCAUCCUACACGCCCAUAUCAUGAUCUAUGUCAUUCAGUUAUAUUGGCAUAGUGAGCAUUGAUGGGUCAAGUUACGAUAGUUGUAACAAAGGUCGUUUUGAUCCUUUGUUGAUAUGAUUGAUGGACCGAAUUGACUAUAGAUACAGUUUAGUAAUGACAGUAAAGUUGAGCUCAUAUGGUUAUUUUUGCAAAGUAUAAUUAUAAGGUUACAUAUAUAGCCCAAGUGAAAGGUUGUUGGAUCUUUAAUCUAGCAUUGUUAGAUCCUUGAUCCAAUGUUGGGUUUAUAUGUGAAUAAUUAUAUGUUGUGAACUAUUAUAUAAGAUUAAGACAAAUUAAAAAUGAUCUAUUAAGGUUUUCGAUAAUUUGGGCUUUAAUGUAUCUAAUCAAUUGUGGGCCUUUAAUGUACAGAGACUUAAGACUAAUUUCUAUUUCCAUGAUGGGUUGGAAUAAGAAUACAUAAAGACAAAAGAAAAAUUUGUUUAUAUAAAUAGUUAUUGUCCGUAGGUCACACGUAUCGUUCUAUUCUCUGUUGACAUCUUAUCAUUAGAGAGAGUGCACAGAGAAGUUUAAAGGAUUCUCUAGGAGAAUCUGUUAAUUUGGAAGACAAACUACUAGACUCUAGAGACAAAUUGUGCAUUAUACUAGUCUUGAACAUGUUCAAUUCUCAAGGCAUCCAGAGGAGAUUUGCCCCUAAGCUUGCGAGCACACAAGUUCCUGAAGUAUUCUUCAACUGUCACUCUUUUAAACAAUAGAGGAUUAUUUUCAGAGACCAAAUUGGACGUAGGGUACAUUUCACCAUCAUAUAUCACUAAGUAAACUGUGCCAAUGGAAAGUCUUCCUUGUAUAGAGUUUACAAUUACACGAUGCUCAAUGCUACGGUAUGUCCCAUUGGUUACAAUCUGCCAUGUAAAAAUUAUUAAAGCACAUGAGCAGGCUCAUAUAAAUGCCAAGUUAAGUAUUUUACUAUAAUUAUUACCUCCAGUGUGUCUCCAAUGUCGACAAUGAAAGCAUUAGGGAGUGGAGCAACAGGAAUUAAUGAAAGCACACAUUAGCUAGCUCAUAUGAAUGUCAAGUUAAAAUAACUUAUCAUAAUAAUUACCUCCAACACGACUCCAAUGUUGACAACGAAAGCAUUUGGAAAAGGUGUAACAGGAAUCCACUUUCCAUCCUUCUUGAUCUGGAGACCUUCUACUUCAUUGAUUUCCAGCAGAAUGGUAAGAACAGAGUCAUCUGAAUGAGUUGUGAGGCCCACAACCUUCUCCGGCUGAGGACAUGGAGGGUAAUAGUUCAUCCCCAUUGAUUGGAAACCAUUUUCAAAGUAUUCUCUCAAUUCUUCAUCUUUGAUAUUUAGAACUUUUCCCAUUUUCAAUACCAGGUUCAUGGCCAGAGAUUUUUAACUCCACUGAAUAAAUUCCAAGAUUUCCUACAAGAAAAAAGAAGAUGCAAUUAAAAGGUUUAGUACAUGAUUGUGGUGGAUUGUUAAACAAGUUAUUAUUUAACAGUAUUCUUUCAUGUUUGGUUGUCAAAUUUUACUAAAUAUAACUGACUUGGGAUCUUUCUCUGAACAUAAUACAUUUGCAAUCAUCAAAUAACUGACUAGAGAGAGAAAAAGAGAAACCUGAGGGGUAAAGAGGGAGCUUAGGAAACAAGUGGGGUUUCCUCAGAUGAAUUGGAAGAGUUGUCAUGAAGAAAAUGUCAAUCCAAUCAACCUUUUGUUCCUCGGAUAUAACACAUGCUUGUCCAAAUCCUUCCAUAUUUGUUAGAUUUCAAUAAACUAAUAGAAUCACAUUUGCAUUAUACUCCAUCAUAAAUUUGCUUAUAGUUCUUCUCAAGCUAUCGUAAGCCUAGACAUCUGAAAGAUAUUAAAGACAAUUUAAUUUUCAAGAAUGCAGGUUUGUCUUCUCAGCUAUACAAGAAAGCAAGUUAGAUGGUCCAUAAUCGGACAAGGUCAGUUACAUCCCUCAAUUUUCAAAAAAAAAAAAAAAAAGGAGUGCUUAAACCGGCUUGGUUAAGACUAUCUAGACUCAAAUUUUGUUACAGCUUUCUUAUUGCUAACUUACAGAGUAAGAAAGCAUUGAUACAGAGUAGGCCAAAUUUGUGGCCUACUUGACCUAUAAGAAUGAAACACAAUCUAAUCUGAAUUUGAUCGACUGUACUUUUUGAUUGAGAGUAUAUAGAUUUCUUAAUUCUUGACGCCAGACUACUAUUAAUAAACCAAGCAUGUCCAAAUGAAAAAAUACAAACUUGGGUGCCUCACGACAGGUGUAGCUUAGCUGGUUGUGAAUGUAAUUCGCAAUUUGCAGAUAUCUGCGCUCGAGUAACAAUAUGGGACAAACGGUGGUAUUUACUAGAUGAGGUCUCAUCCCAAGCAAAUCCUUUAAAAGCAAAAUAAUAAUAACUUGGCAAAGGAGUUUACCUAGAAAGAAGCCCAUUCUUUGCAAGCGAAGUGGAGCCUGGACAACUCAGAAUCCAUUGACUCUUCAGAAAACAAGCUCUGCAAUACCCGUGAAUCCAAAUUAUUAUCAGAAAUUGUGGUUAAAUCUUGGCCUGGUCGUAUGUAUCUGGGAGGGAUAGCUAACAUAGGGUUCUUGGCCAACUCUUGAACACAAGGCACAGGCAGAGAACCUCCGAACUUGGCCUUCUUUUUGUUCCACAAAUUCUCUCAACAAUAAUGCUCCAGAGUUUUAUUGACAAAGCAAAUGUUGAAAAUGUAUUAUUUUCAACAAGUCAUUAUUUGCUGUGGCCUUGUGUGAGACUAAUCCACCAUUGCGGGUCUAGGGUUGGCCCAUAGAUAUUUUGUGAAUAUGACAGUUGCAGUCUGCUGUUGUGUUGCUGUCUGCUGCGAAUUAUAAAAAAGAUAGUGCAUUGCCUUCACAAACUCUUAAGAAUUUGGAUACCAUGCUAAUUUCUUUUACAUGGUCUGAUGACAACCAAUCAAAAUCUUGUAUUUUUCUCAGCAUAAUAGCUGAUCAUCAACCGUAGUUCCAAGUUCAACUUUGAGAGAGACGAUCUGAAUAUGAAAUCCAAAGUUAUAGCUUUGCAGCUUGUGUAACUAACAUCUAUUUUCAGCUAUUGAUGGCAAAAUUUUUCGUUAGUGGUAACAAGUUAUGUAUUCGUCACAAUGUGUGUUAUGGAAUGGAAUAUUUAAGACGUGGAAGGACAACAUUGUUGUUAAAAAUCAAAAACUUGUUACUAUUAACUGAAAACUAUAACGGCUGAUACAGAAACUACACUGGUUCUGUGGUAAUAUUAUCUGUAUGUAUCAUAAAAAUUUGGAAACCAAGUCAUAUAGUCCUUGAAAUCUCAUUAAAAACAAGUCAGGUAUGCAAAAAUUCUAUUUCAAAAAAGAAAGAUACUGAUCUGAUAUAAGCACCACCAUAUAUCAUCGGAAGAUUCCAGGCAUAAGUCUGCAAUUCUUAAGAUUCUUACAUGGUCUAUUCAGUAUCUCAAAUGAUAGAGCUACACAACGAUCCCAGCAUAGCAGGUUAUACCACAGUAUUCAUAGAACUUAUUUCUUAUUUUCAGUUCCACACACAAUCUCAAUAGCAAGGUCCUUCAGAGUUUUUGUACCAAACUCUUUAGUUAUCCGAAAUAAACUUAUACUAGCCUUGACCAUGUUGAAUUCUCAGGGAAUCCAGCUGAGAUUUUCCCCUAAGCUCACGAGCAUACCGGCUCCUAAAGUAUUCUUCAAUUCUCACUCUUCUAAACAAAGGAGGAGUUUUUUCAGAGAUCAAACUGGAGGCAGGAUAUACUUCACCAUCAUAUCUCACUGAGUAAACUGUGGCAACGGAAAGUCUUUCCUGUACAGAGUUUACAACUGCACGAUGCUCAAUGCUACGGUAUGUCCCAUUGGUUAUAAUCUGCCAUGUAAAAAUUAGUAAAGCACAUAAGCAAGCGCAUAAAAAUGCCAGGUUAAGGUAAUUUAUUAUAAUUAUUACCUCCAAUGUGUCUCCAAUGUUGACAAUGAAAGCAUCCGGGAGUGGGGUAACAGGAAUCCACUUUCCAUCCUUCUUUACCUGGAGACCCUCCACUUCAUUAAGUUGUAGCAGAAUGGUAAGUGCAGCCGCAUCAGAAUGCGGCGACAGGCCCAUAACCUUCUCGGGCUGAGGACAUGGAGGGUAAUAAUUCAUCCUCAUUCCUUGCAGUCCAUUUUCAAAGAAUUCUCUCAUUUCUUCAUCUUUGAUAUUUAACACUUCUCCCAUUUUCGAUAUUAGGUUCUCGGCUAGGGUUUUUAAUUCCAUUGAGUAAACUUCCAAGGUCUCUCUACAGGAAAAGAAGAUGCACCAUCCUUUAUUUGUUUGCAAAUCAAAAUGACAUUGACAUAGAGAGAGAGAGAGAGAGAGAGAGAGAGAGAGAACCUGAGGGAAGGAGGGAGCUUAGGAAAUAAAUGUGGUUUCCUCAGAUGAACUGGAAGAGUCAUCAUGGAGAAAAGGUCAGCCCAAUCAAGCUUUUGUUCCUCAGAUACAACAAAGGCUUGUCCAAAUCCUUCCAUAUCUCCUGGACGCUGCCAAUAUUUUUUCUUUUCUUCCAUGCUGAGAUUGAAGAAUCCCUCAACCUCUUUCUUUAAUUUCUCUAGAAAUGCUGUGCUCAUUCCAUGAUUUACCAGCUGAAAAAAAUACAGGAACGAAAUGUGGCAAAGAUUUAAUAAUCGUGCCACUAAGCUCACAAUAGUCCAGGUGUUUUAUUAAGACAGAUUGCAACUUAUCUGACUGAUUUAGAGAUAAGAUUUACAAUCAAAGAUGGCUAAAAGCAUUUGUUACAUUUAAAUCUUCUCAACAAUUAGUUUCCACAGGUGUUUUCUAUUCAUUCUAUCGGAGAAAUUUCGGUUAUUCUAGAAUAACUAUAAUGAGCAUAAAGUUCUUGUGGUUUGUUCACACCUAGAAUUUGAAAAAUCAUACAACAGCAAAUAAUCUCAAUGUUACUUCUAAUUGUCUUUAAAUUAAAGUAAAUUUGCAACAUUGACUACAGAAAUGAGUACAUUUUCUAAGAGGUCUUACACAAUUUACGAUAGUAUAUCUUUUAAAAUUUUGACAGAAGCAUAUUUCUCAUAAGGUACCAAAAGCUAUUGAGGCAGAGGAGGUGAAAUUUCUCAAGACCGUCUUUUUAAUACAUAUUGCGUGUUUGACAUUUAGGAAUGAAAUAGCUAAUUAACCCAUGUCUGGAGGGGGAAAGGUAAAGCAGUAUAGAAAGUCAAUAAUAAAUAAACCAGAGACAAGUUUUUCUUUUCACAAGCUGCAGUCCUAAGCCACAGACAACACCGGAAAGUGAAACCAUGAUCUGCUAACAUCAAUGAUACGUGGGUUUAAGAAAUAAAUAUGAAUUUUAAUUUUGCCUAUUUGAUUGAGAAUUUGCAUAUUUCUCGAUUCUUGAUCACAAACAAGCAUGUUCUGGCGAAACAAUUUUCUAACUUUGCUAAAGCAUUAUACCUGGAAAAAACCCCAUUCUUUGCAUACGAAGUCGAGCUUGGCUAACUCAGAAUCCAUUGAUUCUUCAGAAUGUAAGCUUUGCAUGUCAAUAACUGGUAUCUGUGAAAUCAAAGUAUCAUCAGAAAUGAGGGGUGAAUCUUGAUCUGGACGUAUGUAUCUGUCGGGGACAACUAACGCCGGAUUCUUGACCAACUCUUGAACACAAGGCACAAGGAGAGAACUUCCAAUCUGGGCCAUCUUUUGUUCCUCAAAUCCUUUCAAG